This 480-nucleotide ribosomal RNA is filed under the name uncultured bacterium. Its description in RNAcentral is "partial 16S ribosomal RNA". It matches the Rfam family "Bacterial small subunit ribosomal RNA", at positions 28 to 507 of the family's 1533-position model. The record is from RNAcentral.
GAUGAACGCUAGCGGCAGGCCUAACACAUGCAAGUCGAGGGGCAGAACGAGCUUGCCCCUGUGGGACCGCGGCACGGGUGCGUAACACGUAUGCAAUCUACCUCGUACAGGGGAAUAGACAAGACAAAUUUGGAUCAAUUCCCCAUAGCAUAUAACCUUCGCAUGUGGGUGAUAUUAAAGUUCCAACGGUACAAGAUGAGCAUGCGUCACAUUAGUUAGUUGGUAAGGUAACGCCUUACCAAGACGAUGAUGGGUAGGGGUCCUGAGAGGGAGCUCCCCCACAACGGAACUGAGGCCCGGACCAGACCGGUACGCGAGACAGGGGAAAGGAAUAUUAGGCAGUGGUCGCUAGUCUAACCCUGCCAUGCCGCGUACAGAAAGCCGGUGGUAGGGAUUGUAAACCGCUUUUAUCGAAGAGGAGACCCCCCCACGUGUUGGAGCUUGACGGUACUGGAGGAAUAAGGAUCGGCUAACUCCGUG